GAUGAGAACGUAGCGAAAUGCGAUAAGUAAUGUGAAUUGCAGAAUUCAGUGAAUCAUCGAAUCUUUGAACGCACAUUGCGCCCGCCAGUAUUCUGGCGGGCAUGCCUGUUCGAGCGUCAUUUCAACCAUCAAGCCCCAGGCUUGUGUUGGGGACCUGCGGCUGCCGCAGGCCCUGAAAACCAGUGGCGGGCUCGCUGUCACACCGGGCGUAGUAGAUUUUAUCUCGCUCAGGGCGUGCUGCGGGUUCCGGCCGUUAAAAAGCCUUUUUUACCCAAGGUUGACCUCGGAUCAGGUAGGAAGACCCGCUGAACUUAAGCAUAUCAAUAAGCGGAGGA
This 335-nucleotide unclassified non-coding RNA is filed under the name soil metagenome. RNAcentral describes it as "partial contains 5.8S ribosomal RNA, internal transcribed spacer 2, and large subunit ribosomal RNA". The stretch from base 5 to 119 matches the Rfam family "5.8S ribosomal RNA", at positions 40 to 154 of the family's 154-position model. The record is from RNAcentral.